AACGAACGCUGGCGGCAUGCCUAACACAUGCAAGUCGAACGAAGCCUUCGGGCUUAGUGGCGCACGGGUGCGUAACGCGUGGGAAUCUGCCCUUGGGUUCGGAAUAACAGUUAGAAAUGACUGCUAAUACCGAAUGAUGUCUUCGGACCAAAGAUUUAUCGCCCAAGGAUGAGCCCGCGUCGGAUUAGCUAGUUGGUGAGGUAAAGGCUCACCAAGGCGACGAUCCGUAGCUGGUCUGAGAGGAUGAUCAGCCACACUGGGACUGAGACACGGCCCAGACUCCUACGGGAGGCAGCAGUGGGGAAUAUUGGACAAUGGGCGAAAGCCUGAUCCAGCAAUGCCGCGUGAGUGAUGAAGGCCUUAGGGUUGUAAAGCUCUUUUACCCGGGAUGAUAAUGACAGUACCGGGAGAAUAAGCCCCGGCUAACUCCGUGCCAGUAGCCGCGGUAAU
This 450-nucleotide ribosomal RNA is filed under the name uncultured bacterium. RNAcentral describes it as "bacterial SSU rRNA". It matches the Rfam family "Bacterial small subunit ribosomal RNA", at positions 29 to 524 of the family's 1533-position model. The record is from RNAcentral.